AUCCAGCUGAUGUGUCCCAAAUAGCACGAAACGCGCGUCAAAUUGGAU
This 48-nucleotide non-coding RNA is filed under the name Schistosoma margrebowiei. Lineage: Eukaryota; Metazoa; Platyhelminthes; Trematoda; Strigeidida; Schistosomatidae. The record is from RNAcentral.